CCUACGGGAGGCAGCAGUGGGGAAUUUUGGACAAUGGACGCAAGUCUGAUCCAGCCAUGCCGCGUGCGGGAAGAAGGCCUUCGGGUUGUAAACCGCUUUUGUCAGGGAAGAAAAGGUUCUGGUUAAUACCUGGGACUCAUGACGGUACCUGAAGAAUAAGCACCGGCUAACUACGUGCCAGCAGCCGCGGUAAUACGUAGGGUGCAAGCGUUAAUCGGAAUUACUGGGCGUAAAGCGUGCGCAGGCGGUUAUGCAAGACAGAGGUGAAAUCCCCGGGCUCAACCUGGGAACUGCCUUUGUGACUGCAUAGCUAGAGUACGGUAGAGGGGGAUGGAAUUCCGCGUGUAGCAGUGAAAUGCGUAGAUAUGCGGAGGAACACCGAUGGCGAAGGCAAUCCCCUGGACCUGUACUGACGCUCAUGCACGAAAGCGUGGGGAGCAAACAGGAUUAGAUACCCUGGUAGUCCACGCCCUAAACGAUGUCAACUGGUUGUUGGGAGGGUUUCUUCUCAGUAACGUAGCUAACGCGUGAAGUUGACCGCCUGGGGAGUACGGCCGCAAGGUUGAAACUCAAAUGAAAUUGACGGCUGAGACGNGCGAGGACGACGACGAGGGAGGAGG
Molecule: ribosomal RNA, 620 nt
Filed under: uncultured bacterium
Lineage: Bacteria
Description: bacterial SSU rRNA
Rfam family: Bacterial small subunit ribosomal RNA
Source: RNAcentral